Molecule: long non-coding RNA, 6335 nt
Filed under: Populus trichocarpa (black cottonwood)
Lineage: Eukaryota; Viridiplantae; Streptophyta; Magnoliopsida; Malpighiales; Salicaceae
Description: long non-coding RNA (PTRI_LNC001749)
Source: RNAcentral
ACCUACACGCACAGAAUCAGUACCGGUUAAUUUUAAUAUUGGAUUUAUUGUGGAAAAUUAUAACUCGUUAGGAUAAUUAAUUGAGGAUUGAAGAGGGAUCGUGUAGACAGAGCACAUACAGGAACAUGGGAGUCCCUUGCGUUCCUCUUUGGGUCAGUAGCAGAGAAGACAGUGUAGACGAGAACAAAGGUACCGAUGAUCUCAGCACCUAAUCCAGUGCCCUUGCUGAAUCCUGUAGCAAGUUCAUUGACUCCACCACCGUACUUUGUGUAAUACGACUUUUGGAAAGCUUUCACGAGUCCACAUCCACAUAUGGCCCCCAAGCACUGAGCCACCAUGUAUAGAACGGCACGCACCAGGGACACCUUCCUAGCCAAGAACAAACCGAAAGUCACAGCCGGGUUAAUGUGUCCACCUGCAUAAUUUUUAGCAAGAUUAAUUAAUUACUUACUUAGUCCCAUAUUCAUAAAAGAAGAAGAAGAAGAAAGGGUUGUAAGAUCUCCGUUAUGCAUAUAUAUGAUCAUUUUUAUUUGAUUUACUGACCUGAGAUACCAGCAGUGCAGUAGACAAGAACAAAGAUCAUGCCACCAAAGGCCCAAGCGAUGCCAAGAAUGCCAACCCCACCACAUGCAUCGCUGUUCUUGGUCGUGUCAGUCUGGCUCUUGUAACCUAUCACAGUCAACACAGUGAUGUAGAGAAACAAGAGCGUGGCAAUGAACUCGGCAAUGAUAGCCCUAUACAAAGACCACUGGGUGAGCUCCUCGGCAUCAAUCAAUGGUGCUGGUGGAGGGUCAUGAUAGUCCUUGGCACUGAAUUCGCCUCCAACUUCAAUGUCCUUGCCCAUAUCUUUUGAUGAGACUUGAGUGACAAAGCUAAAGAGGUUUGCUUGCUAUUAUUGACGAAUGAAAGCCAAGGUGGUGUGGUAUUUAUGGGAAUAAAGAUAUGGUGAUGACUGAGGAGUGGGUGCUAAAUUAACUUAUCUUUGCCGCCCCCACUCAUAAUUGUUGUUUCUUAAACUUUCUGUGUCCCCAUCUCAUACUUGUGCUUAUCUGGCCUUGUGUGGUUCGGCUGCUUUAAAGACAGUUCUUGUAAGUUCUUCUAAAUUGUCGCCCAGUUCUUCAAUGUCUACUUCACGGUUUUCACUGUGUGGCCAGUUUACAUUUAUCAAUAUGGAAUUGCCGAGGGAUGAUCACAAUUGAAAUACAUUCACUGACAAUGUAGUCCAGUUAACUGGACGUGUUAAUUAUGAUAUUCUAGUGAACCCUAAUUAAUGGAGUCCAGUUUUUUUCUAUGAAAUAGUAUAGUUAAUAAUUAAUUUUAUGAUUCGAUAACUUUGAUAUAUAUAGUUGUAUUAUUUUUAGAUUUUAAUAUUAUUGAUUUUUAAAAAAACUUUAAAGCAUUUUUAGAGUUUUUAUAGAUAUAAUAAAGUGAUAAUAACAUACUAUAUAGAUUAGGAGUGGUUUAAGAAGCUUAGUUUAUGUUAUUUCAGAUUUUAUAUGGUUAAUAAAUAAGAAAAUAAUGAAAAAAUGGGAUAGAUUUAUUUUUUAGAAUUCAACAAUUUAUGUCUAAGAGUUUUUUAAUGUAGAUUUUUUCCUUAUUUAAUGUAAUUUUUUAAUAUAAUAUUAUAAUAUUAGUAUUAUAUUAUAUUAAAAACAUAAUCAUCAAUUUUUUUUUAAUUGUGUUUUUGUAUAUAGCUAUAGAUGGAGACAAACCAACUUUGUUUCAGUUAAAUAGAGCAUGUUUGUUUUUGUAGUUAAAAAAAUGUUUUUAUAAAAUUUUAAUUUCUUUUUUUAAAUUUUUUUAAAUGAUUUUAAUAUGUUAAUAUUAAAAAAAAAAUAAAGAAGGUGAAGGCAGCUUAUUGUGAAUCAUGAUGACGAAAGUCCAAACCGACCAAAUACAAUAACAAAUCAUUCAGCUACUCUGUCCAGCAUGUUAUCAUCUUUCAUUCUCGUAACCACUCACUCCAUGCCACGUUAUCUUGACCCCACAGAGCAACCCAAUCCUCGCUCGAGAAUUCUUGUGUUGUGCUUAUCACUGAUACGUCACUCUCCUAACAAAAAAAAAAAAGCAUUUUUAAGGGAAAAACGAAAUCAGCAAAUAGAAACAUUCUGGUUGUUAUUUCGCCACGUGUCACGCAUCGGCAAAUCAUGGAAAAUUGUCCUAUAUAAUAUAUUUGGUCGGCUGUCCACUAGUGGAGAAGGCAUCGCGAGCUUCAACCGCAGAGGUUGACAUGAGAUUAUAGCAUGUCAUGCAAUAAUUACUGUCGAAUUUUGUCUGCAUUUUUCAAUUUGAUGCUAGUCGGCUCUGCAAUUGUAAAAUCCGAGUUGUUAGGUGGUCACCUUUUAUUUUUCUAUUUAGAAUUAUUUUUAGAUGUAUUUUAAAAAUAUAUUUAGUUUAAAAAGAUUUUAAAUUAAUAGAUAUUAACAAAUAAUGAUUAUCAUAAAAUACUAUAUGAGAAAACUUUGUCUUAAAAAAAUCUUCUGGGGAAUAUUAGGAAUCCCCAUGUCCUAUACAAAAUUUCUUCUCACAAUUAGCUCGAUGAUUAAGCUUUAUAAUUAUUUUAAUUUAUUUUUUAUUUAGUUAUUUCAAUUAAAUAAUUCAAGUCGCUGGUUUAACAAGUUAAUUUAGCUUGAUUUUAAUUAUUUUUUUGGAUUUUUUAAUUGAUUUUUUUUUCAAUUUUACUAUUUAAUAUUAAUUUAUUGAAAGCUAAGUUUUAUAAUUUAUUUUGAUUUGCUUUCUAUAGGGUUAUCAUGGUCGCAUGACUCGACAUGCAAAUUGACAGGUUAACCCGAGUUGACCUGAAUCAAUUUAAUAUGUUGUCAUUUUGAUAUUUAUAAAAAGAUCUCAUCUUGAAAAUUUAUUUUGAGUAAACCAUGUUUUCAUUGGUUAUCUGGGUUGUUUUUGAACUCAUUAAGUCAACCGGGUUAUAUUGAGUCAAUCUCCACACGGUUUUAAAAAACAUUUUUUACUAGCAAAAAAAUGAGUAAUGCCUAAUUUUUUUUUAUGUUAAUUUUUUUUAAUUCAACCGGCAGUAUAGUUCGAGCCAAUAAUUUAGUCAAUAAAUAUAUUAAAAGAAAAAGAAAAAUUACUCUGAUUAUUUUGUAGUUUAGCUUCUUCUUUUUUCAUUUUUUUUUCUAUUCUUUUAAAAAUUACAAUUUAUAUCUAAUGAUUUAUAAUUUGAUAACAAUUUAUAUGUACAUAAAAAAAUAACAAAAAGAUCAAAUUAUUUGUAAGAAUGCUAUUAUAUUUCAAGUAAUGACUAAAUGGCCCUUAUAUUGAAAGAAUUAUCAUACAAUAAGAAAAUACUUUUUUUUUUAUUAUUUUUAGUGUUCAAAUUACAAAGCUGCCAUAAUUAUAAGAUUCUUUUUAUUUUGGAUUUUUAUAAAACACUCUCUGUUCAAACAUGAGCCCUCUGCUUUCUUACGAUCUUUCCAUUCUUGCAUAGUUGUUUGCAUCAGUUGUGAUUUGCCUCUCCAGCUUACCAUUAUGAAGAUUAAGGAUGAGAUGGAGAAGACACUGCAGUUAAAUUGCCUCUCCAACUAAGAAAUUUAGCUUUGGCAGUAAACAUUUCAAUCCUCAUAAACAUAUUUCCUCUCCUCAUUCCUGCCAUUAAAUUGCCUUGGGGCAGAGAAGGUAGCACACAAACAUUUCGAGUCAAUGAGCAGGGAUUACGGGAUCACUCCCGCAGUAUAGCAUUAUGAAGCUAAAGUUGAUCUUCUUAGAGAUCAGGAAAGAUAGCGGAGGCAAAGGAGUUUGUUGCAAAUAUGCCAAUUGAUCCAAACACCAGAGUUUGGGAGACUCUAAAGAAGUACUCGAAAGCCAGAACACAAGGUUUGUGCUUCAUGAUCUUGACCAAGAGGCAAAGGAGAAGGCAUUGUUCUCCCAUAGUGAAAGGAUAGCCAUUGUUAAUGGGCCUACUAAUACUCCUCCCGGGACAACAUUAAGGAUAGUGAGAAAUCUAAGGAUUUGUGGGGACUUUUAUAAUCUUAUUGAAGGGGAUACAAAAAUUAAAAGAAAUAUUCUGGAAAGAAUUAUUUUUUGAGAUCCUUGUACAUCAUUCACAGUAUAUUCUACGACUUUCAUUUCAAGACUGCAAUGACUUCUUUUUUACUGGAUUUCUUCAGGGGGAUGUGAAUCUCUUCUGGGGGAUGUGAAUCUCUUCUUGAAUAGAUACCCCUUGGGUGUUGAUGGGGGAUCCUCCAAAGAUUAAGUCAAUACGAGGUAUUUUUAUGUGGCAAAAGACAUUAAUAAAAGUAUUAAUGAGCUUUUAUGAAGAUAGAGAUGAAUAAGAAGAAGAAGACGUAGAAGUUAGAGAAGAAGAAGCAGGAUUGUGUUUAUGUCUAGAGUAUAAGGUUUCCAACAUUUUUUUUGUAUACCCAUGCUUUUUAUAUUACAUGACUUAACUUGCUUCAUACAACGUAAGAGGGGUGGAGAUGUAAUCUCAUAAUAAUAAAAUAAUAUUAUUUUACUGCUCGUGCCAUCGCAUCUAAUUAAUAUAAAUAUGGACCACUUGUUCGUAUUUAAUGGGAUGUGAUGGGUAUUAUAAUUACUAGUCUAGGCCCGGAGUAUGGGAGACUUAGUGUUGAGUUACCUUUUAGCUAUACACUGAACUUGAAAGGAGUUUGGUUCAACUUAUACACUGAACCCAAAAAGAAUCGAGUUAGCUUUUGACUACACCCAAGAAUGGUCAGGGAUGGGCACACAAUAGCCCGACGUGGAGUUCUUUGUGAACGUGUCCCUGACCUAACAUAGGGUUGGGCGCGGACGCACCGCCCAAUAUGGAGUUGGGCAUAGACGCGUUCCUGACCCAACAUGGGGUUGGGCGCGGACGCGUCACGACCCAACUUGGAGUUGAGCAGGGACGCGCCCUUACCCGAAUUAGGGUUGGGCGCAUCCUUACCUAACCUAGGGUUGGGAGCAGACGAGCCCUUGCCUAAUUUAGAGCUGGGCACAGGCAUGCCAUGACCCAAUAUGAAGUUGAGCGUCAAAAAGAUAUAAUUUUAUUAUAAGGAAGGUUUUUAGAAAACCAUGACCCACACUCAUCAUCAAUCAUCAAGAUCCUCUCUAAAAUUGAGAAACGAGAGAUUAUUGUGAGAGGCAAUAAGAGUUUUCAUCAUUUCAAGAUUGUAAACUGCCCCCAAAUCUUCACACUUUUUGCUUCAACGACCAGGGAUUAAGAAGGGCUGGUGUGAAUUUGAUUGAAAUUAGUACUCGAAAGACGACAGCAGCAAGGAAGUGAUGAGAUGUAACACAGCACAUAUUUCGUAUCACUCUUGUUAUCUUUUUAUCCCGAAAUCACUCGUGUUAAAGAUUGGUUCCCACUCGUCUCUAUUUUCCUUUUAUUUUACAAGAUGUAGUAACAAAGAGAAGGUAAAGAGAUUGGCUAAGACAAGCAAGAUGCAGCACUAGUUGAUUAUGAGAUAGGGAGAAAUUAAAAGACAGACAAGAUGAAAACGUUCGAGCACAAACAAAACAAGUGCCCAAUACGCACACGACCGUGACCAAUAUAGACAUCUUGACCACGACUGUGUACACAUUCCCCAGUUCCAAGCCCUUUUGGACUACUUGAAUCUUUGCGUUACACCAUUCAAUAACUUGAUGGAAGUAUUUCAGUGACCAUAUAUUAUACGGUCUUUAAAAUUAAAUGUUGGAAGAGCUCCUGAAGGACCCAAGGGCUUUAACAGCAGCUGCUCUCAGGACGUAUUGGUGAUACAAUGCAGCAAUUGCGGCCCCAAUGAAAGGCCCGACCCAGAAGAUCCACUGAGAAAACAAAAGCAAGGAAAUCAAAAUAUUUACAUGAGCAUGAAUAUACUUGUGAAAGAUGUGAAGCUAACAAGGAGAAAUGUUAAAGGGCACAUACAUGGUCAUCCCAUGCCUUGUCUUUGUUGUAUAUCACAGCAGCUCCAAAGCUCCUAGCUGGGUUGAUACCAGUUCCAGUGAUUGGAAUAGUGGCCAAGUGAACCAUGAAGACAGCAAAUCCGAUGGGAAGUGGUGCCAACACCUAGACGCACAGAAUCAGUACGGGUUAAUUUUAAUAUUGGAUUUAUUGUGGAAAAUGAUAACUCGUUAGGAUAAUUAAUUGAGGAUUGAAGAGGGAUCGUGGAGACAGAGCACAUACGGGAACAUGGGAGUCCCUUGCGUUCCUCUUUGGGUCAGUAGCAGAGAAGACAGUGUAGACGAGAACAAAGGUACCGAUGAUCUCAGCACCUAAUCCAGUGCCCUUGCUGAAUCCAGUAGCAAGUUCAUUGGCUCCACCACCGUACUUUGUGUAAUACGACUUUUGGAAAGCUUUCACGAGUCCACAUCCACAUAUGGCCCCCAGGCACUGAGCCACC